GCUGGGGGAGAAGAGGGAGGGAGGAGAUGCCGAGGAAGUUUUCUGCCCUGUACGAUCGCCAACGGCACUAACUCCUUCAGGCUUGUAAGUAGCCACACACAUACACACAGCUGUGCUCAGCAGGACGCACAGUGUCCAAGGUGAAGAAACUCCCACUCCUACCAAGGAUUCCUGUACCUCAUCCUCCCAGGGACAGGAUAGUGGGGACGGUGGAUGGGACGGACCCGUAGCCAAAGCCAGGAUAACCAUACCUUGCAUCCAGUCCCUGCCUGCCCUGCCCUGAUCAGUUGUCUCUCUCCUGUCUUGAUCUUUCUGCUCCUUUCCCCUUGCCUUGCUUUCUCAUCUGCUCUGAGGCAGAUGGGAAGAAAGCCACAGACAUAAACGAGGUCGCAGCAGUCAGAGCUGGAUUAGCUGUUCCCAGCCCGCAGCACGAGUCCCACCUGGGACCAGAGGCUUGGCAGAGGCACUGGGGUUUCACUGCUGAGUGCAGGGGCUUCGUCCUCCCAAAAGUCAGCCCCAGUCUGCAGAAGGUCUGACCUCUGUUCAUCGCGUUUUCUCAGCUGGUUCUCUGCUUCCUCCUUUGUGCUGGUUGCUGGCUUGCCAGUAAAACAGUUCAUCAGCAAGGAAUUUUUUAUCCUUUCUAUUUACAGCCCAGGAAGAGAGCACUUUAAUGGCCUUUCCAACAGCAGAGAGAGAGACAGAAUCUAUCUUGGACAGACAUCAAAUGGAUGCCAGCCUGGUUUAGGCUAAUAAAGAGCAUCAUUGAGCUAAUGAGAUUAAGGCUGACUUGUUUAUGCUGUCCCUGCUGGAAACGGUGCUCCAGGAUAGCGGCUGUGAUGUUCCUGGGACCUGGGGAAUUACAGAGGAAUUUCUGCGUGGCCCAGAAGGCAUUGACCCAAUUCCUCUGCCCUCCCACGCCCAGCAGUUUGCAGGUUCAUUGGGAAAGAUCAAGAUUGCUUCCAGAUUGAGCCUACUCAUUUUACAAACACACGGAGUCCAGCUGGAUCCUUCAGGCUCAUCACACCCCACAGACAAUAAAAGCUCUGCUACUUUUAAUGUCACACAUAACUGCAGAGAACUACACUAAGCCCAGCAGAGAAAUGGACAGUCCUUCCGAGAGCAGUCGGGAAUGAUUGCAUUUAUCCUCACUGGGAUUUUGGUGAUGGAGUAGGAACCCAGUGCCAAGAAUGAGUACAGGAAGGUAUACCAAGCCUCUGAACAAUUUGCCAGACCCUUUUCUGAUGGAUGACACAGGCAAGAAUUCCCAUGUGAGUCUGUGAUUCAAGGGUCACCCUGCUCCCAGGAAGACCAAGCAUCUCACCACCACCUCCUGGGUCA
RNAcentral lists this long non-coding RNA (1338 nucleotides) under Anas platyrhynchos platyrhynchos (common mallard). Its description in RNAcentral is "lncRNA (ENSAPLG00000019402.1)". Lineage: Eukaryota; Metazoa; Chordata; Aves; Anseriformes; Anatidae. The record is from RNAcentral.